Molecule: ribosomal RNA, 494 nt
Filed under: uncultured bacterium
Lineage: Bacteria
Description: partial 16S ribosomal RNA
Rfam family: Bacterial small subunit ribosomal RNA
Source: RNAcentral
GACGAACGCUGGCGGCGUGCUUAACACAUGCAAGUCGAACGGAAAGGCCUGCUUUCCCUUGUGGAUUGCGGGUACUCGAGUGGCGAACGGGUGAGUAACACGUGAGUGAUCUGCCCCCAACUUGGGUAUAAGCCUGGGAAACUGGGUCUAAUUCCCGAUAGGACUGCAGGGUGGUGCCUGUGGUGGAAAACGAUUUUCUAGUGGUUGGGGAUGAGCUCGCGGCCUAUCAGCUUGUUGGUGGGGUAAUGGCCUACCAAGGCGGCGACGGGUAGCCGGCCUGAGAGGGUGGACGGCCACAUUGGGACUGAGAUACGGCCCAGACUCCUACGGGAGGCAGCAGUGGGGAAUAUUGGACAAUGGGCGGAAGACUGAUGCAGCGACGCCGCGUGGGGGAUGACGGCCUUCGGGUUGUAAACUCCUUUCGACCGCGAGGAAGCCACCUGGUUGGAAGGGUGGUGACGGUAGUGGUAGAAGAAGCACCGGCUAACUACGUG